GUCCCUUAGCCGUUCACCUAGUCCCAAUACCACAAUUGCCUCCAGCUUUUGUGUGUCGCCUUAUAAUUCUCCCACAGGUCUCGCCCUUAGCUCUUUAGUCCCGACUGCCUCCUCAACUCCACCCCACAUCUCUGUUAGCUCCUCACCUCAGCUCGUCUCUGUUAGCUCCAUAUUGAUGGGUUUUUGGCGCUUUACCGAUGUCCUACCUUUUACCUCACACCUCAUUCUGACCUCUCAUUCCCCUUCGCCUUCUUGCUAUUGCACAAGAUCCUCCUCUGCCAAUUCUAUCUGCUGCCAUAGCAUUGCAGUUGCAUUUGCACCCGCUACUUCCUUACCAUUCCUAGUCUUUUUUGUUCCCUCUCUUUUCAGUAAGCCCAUUUCUACUUUUUCCCUUUGCCGCACCAUGCCCUUGAUGAACAAGUGUUUAGUUAGAUUAUACUUUCUCCAAAAGCAUUACCUCUCGAUGUUGCAGCUCCUCUGCUUUACGCUAGGAUCACAGUGGACAGCCCUUUCAGAUAUUUUGGUCUCGACAAGCCUAGCCUUCAUGUGGGUGUGGUCAGUCUCGGUGGCCUCAGCCGUAUGGCAUUCAAGAUAGCCAAAGGUUUUGGAGCAAAGGUUAGUGUCAUAAGUACUUCUCCUAACAAGAAGGAAGCCGUUGAACAUCUAGGAGCUGAUUCCUUUAUUAUUAGUCGGGAUCAUGACCAGAUGCAGGUAGUUAAUUUUCGUCACAAGUACUGUUGCUCUUAUAUAUAUUUAUAUAUGUUAUAUAUACAUACACAUAUACACUUAUUGUUUAGUUCAUUGGAAGUUUUAGUAAGCUGAACAGCUUAUUGUUUAGUUCUGGGAAUAACCUAACCAGGUAUGGCACCUCUGCUCAGUGUUUUCCUUUAGUAGUUCCAAUUACACUUGGAAAUAAGAAAUAUACUAGGUCAACAUAGCUAAGCAAAAUCCUCAUUGUCCCUCUAUGAGGUAUUUAAGAGGAUCAUUCUUUUAGAGUUUACACCAAAACUCAUAGAUCCAAAAGCCUUGUGUGGAUCAAAAGAAUUUUAGUUUCCUAUAUGCCUCCAAAAAGGCAAGGUAUAUAUAUUUGUGAUUAUCCAUCAACAUCCUCUAACAUAUAUAUUCUUGAGAAAUGAAAUUUCUGCUUUCUAUACUAAAUGGCAAUAAUACUAAAAAAUGGCUGGGUCCAGUGUGAAAUGAAUGAUUUUUAUAUAAUCAGGAAGAUUCAUGGGGACAGCAUCAUCAUGAUGCAGGAAAUAUAUGAUAAAUAUUAAUGAGUUUUUUUUAUCUUGAAUUCCUUUUUUCUUGGGUUCUUUUUGCUUAGCACCUUUGGGACCCAUUCUUUGUGAUCCUUUCUUGCUGCAAACAUUUUUUUUUUGUGUAUUUUGGGCAUGCGUUUUUUUAUAAUAACAUUUUAAACUACCCUGAUGAACAUUAAAAUUCUUUUCAAAAUCCUGCCCUUUGGUGUUGGAAGUUUAUGCUACGUUUGUAGUUUGCUUUCAUGUACUUUUGAUUCAAUUUAUUUUAUUACGAGUCUUGACAUUAGUUUGUCACAUGAGAGGGGAGGCAGGGUAAACUUAGCAAAGUUGGGCAGCCAGGUUUACAAAACCCCUGACGAUGCUCCAAUCUUGGUCUCGCCUUCGUCUGUAUCAAAUGGAAAGAAGUUCUGUAGCCGCCAUAAGGCAAAAGAAUAAAAAAAAAAAAAAAAAGCAUGAGAGUUCUGUUCGAACACUGAAGAGAAGACUUGCGGAUUACUUGCUGGAGAUGAAGGGCUGGAGAUUAAGAAAAUAAAGAAGAAAAGGUCCACUGGUGCUGUGCAUAAUAGAGUUGUUGAAAAGGGGAGUGCAUAACAGAGUUGCGACUCUUUGGGAUUUAAAACGAAUUGGUCCUCCAAAGGGGAGUGCUGAUUUGGAUAUUUGGUUUUAUGGUUCUCAAGGUUUCGGGUAGUUUGGUUUAUUUUCAAAUUACAAGAUAUAUAUAUAUAUAUAGGGGUAAUUUUUAUUAAUGCUGAAAACUGCUAGCUAUGAUUAUAUACUUAAUGAUGAAAUAUCUCUUUCCACAAUAAGGGUGAUAUCUUUUCACUAUUCCAAAGAUUCUCAUUAUGCAUGGAACGAUAUUGAUACUAGCACUAUUAUUGGCUUAUUCCAUUGGUUCAAUCCAUGUUAUUCUCCUCUUGCUUCUAUUCAAAGCAUUACCAUAUUUUUAGCUAAAUAGAAUGUUCAAAAUGUGCUUCUCCUCCCUUCCAAUUAAGUAGAGCUGGAUUUAGUGGUUAUUGCAUGUUGUGUUUUAUUUAAUAUGCACUAGGGACUUUUUUGACUAACUUCUUUUUGUGAUAUUAUUAGCAUAUGUUUAAUAUUUUUUUAACUAUGCGUAUUUGAUAAAUAGAUCUUUAUUUCAUUAUUGAAGGUUACCAAAUAAAGUUGACAAGAAGAAAAAUGAAAUCAAGUGGGUGCAUAUUCAAGUUAAUCUUUUGUGCCACAACCAACUCUCAUCAUUCACAGAGAUGAGACAUUUUGUGUUCAGUGAGUCAUCAUCACAAAAAUUUAUUGAAUAUAUAUUCUGAACUCUUUUUCCUUCUAGGAUGGUUUUUCCUAUUUAUUCAUCUCUCACAAUGCAAUACACAACAUUAAAAAUAACCUCAUAACCUUUGUCACAUAAUUGACUUAUGCUUAAAAGGUUAUGUACUAAACCAUCAACUAAAUAAAUAUUAUCAAUACAAGGAGAAUUAGAUGCAUUCCUACCAACUUUACCUAUAUCGAGAAUUCUUCCCUUUUCAUUAUUUUCAAAGGUGACAAUUCCACCAUCUUUGUUUUCCACCAUAUAUAAGAAUAUGGAGCUAUCAAGUCAUGUGCUUGGAGCAGCCACUAUAAAGAUACCACUUUUCAUUUGUGGCUCUCCUUGAUACCUGCAGAAAUUUCAUGUUUUCCUAGGUAUCCAAAUUUAUUUGGGUCCUAAUAGGUUAGUAGACCUCUUUAGAACCCACUUCAUAUUUUUGCUCAACCCUUCCUAUGGAUACAUGACUUAGUCUUGUGCCCUUUCUUGUUGCAGUAGGAACAAGUGGAUUGAGGAGAGUUAUUCAUAGCAGUAAGAACAAAGAAGUUCAUGUAAUAUUUUUUUCUUCUUAUUUAGUUUACAGCCUAUGCCAGUUUUAUCAAAAACACUUCUUUGUUGACUUAAAAUUUUGUUUAAAUUAUCUCUACCCUUAAUAAAUUUUGCAAGUGUAUAUUUUAGAUCUUCUUUUUCAGAUAUAUAAAGAGAACAAUUAGUACAUGAGGUUUCCUUUUCCAAAAUAGUACUAUUCUUUUUCAAAGUAUUAUUCUUAGAUUUGAGAGACAAGUUUUAUUUUUCAGAAAUAGGAAGUUCCUUUUUAACUUGCGAAAGAUUUUUCAUAAGAAGAAAAGAUUCAUUGUGCAAUUCUUUAAAAGUAAUUUUUAGUUCUUCAAAUGUAAAAUCAAAUUCAAAGUCAGAAUCUGAAUCAUUUACCUAAUCAAAAUGGCUUUUGGCCAUUAGACACAAGUUUUCUUCUUCUUUUUUUAUAGACUCCUCAUUACUGUGAUUGUAGAUUGAAGAGAGAUAAGCUUUGAAUUUCUUUUUGUCAUACUUGUAGCUUUUACUUUCUUGCUUCAGAGGGCAUUUAGCCUUAAUGUGUCCAGGCAUCAAUGUAAUGCCCUCAUUGACAUUACCAUAUACUCCAUUAUAAAAUUUCUAAUCACUUUGAAAUAAUUUAAGUUGAAAAUACUGAAAACAUUGGGAUCCCAAUAAAAUAUUUAUAAAAAUAUCAUUUCGUAACUCAUUCAGUUUAUAAAACCUUAACACACAAAUACAUACACAGCGGAAGCAACAAGUAUUCAGGUACUGAAUAUCAAAAGAAACAUGUGCAUACAAAAAAUAAAGUGAAAUUUUGCACCAUAGACCAUGGCAUAUGGCACAGAGGCCAUAGUCACUCACUCUAUGCCAUACGCCGAGGCUGUGAGUACAUGCAUUGUGGCGCACACACCUAAAUUUGCUAUCAAAUGGCUGUUUCUCAUAUGAAAUUCAAAUGCACACCAUUUUCACAUGCGAUGUCCGAUUGUGAUGGUUCAAAUGCCCACACGAAACUUGUUAUGAAAUCUAACUAAUGACACUAGUUUCAACUCAAUCUGAUAUUUUAAUUAAAAAUUGAAUACCUAAGUGCAUUUUGACCAAUUUCUAUCAAAAUGUUGCUACUUAAGUGUCUUAAUUCGAAACCAAUUGUCAUUAGCCACUUUUUAGGCCUUAACUAACUCCAAAUGGAUAAUACACACCUAAUUGACCAUACACAUGCACAAUAUAUCACGCAUACACAUAUUUGGCCUAUAAACUGCCCAUUUCAUACUUUAGGCCAAAAUCAUAUUUUCACUUCUUUAAUUCCAUACAAGGCCAAUUCAUCACAUAUAAUCUCUACACAUCUCGUAUUUACACACAAUUACAUUCAUCCACUAGCCCAACUAGUCAUUUCAUUAUUCACACAUGUACAAGGGCUACGAAGCUUAAAAUCACAAAAUACAAUAUUUACCAUAAUAUGCAGAUGCUUAAGUCCUAAAGCAACUUAUACAUACUUUUGGCUAACAAUUUACAAACUAUCACACCAUAUCUUUUAAAGAUUUAGGUGAGAGAUAUCAACUCAGCCUAUAUCCUUUCUGUAACAUCCUGAAAUUUUAAGACUCAAAUUUAUUUUAAAAAUAAAAUAAAAUAUUUAUAAUUAAAUUAAAAUUUAGAAUAAUUUGAUAGAGGUCCAGAGUUUAAAUUUUUCUCAGCAAAAGUUUGGUUUUAUUGGAUUUUUAACUAUGAAAAAAUUACCAAAGUUAACCCAAGCUUUUGUGCUAUAAAAAAAAUGUUGGGCCCUUUCUUGUAAUUUGCCCUAAAGUGUUAGAUCAGUAUUUUAAUGUGCAAAAUGAAUGCAAAAAUGAAAUGGAACAAAGAAAAAGGAAAGAAACAAACGGGAGAGAGGAAGAAGAGAGGAGAAAGAGAGGGAGUUAGGCUUGGAUCUAGAAGGCUUUGCAAUCGUUGCGAGCUCGACUACACAAUAGAAAAUUAUUGGUGGAACUUAUUGAGAAGUUAAGGAACAAGCCAAGUCCUAUUUUGUGUAAGAGGAACCCUUUUGGUCCUAAAGGGUUAAGGUCCAGGCAAAGGAACCAAUAGAGGAUGGGGAAAGGAACAUAGCUAGGGGUUGUUUGUGAAUUGUAAAGAACUACAAUCCCUUUCUUUUGAGAAAAUCUAUUGUAAUGUAUUUAGAAUUAGGGUGCCAGUAGGAUGUGAUUAUAUAUAUGUGGAGAUUGUAUGGCUUGUGUAUGAAUUUUUAUUUGCUUGUAGACUUGUGGCUAGGAAACUUGGCUAUGGUGUGUGGUUUUGAUGGAUUUAUUUAGUAGACCAAGUUUUCACUACAAGAAAAUAUUUAUUUUGGUAUAUAUGUGAUUCCACAAGCAAAUGCAAAGUGGUUGCAUUGCAAAUGGUGUGCUACGGACAAACAUACACCUUGGAUAGAGAGAGUGGUGCGUGGGCCCCACAGAGAUCUCUGAGCUAAGUGAAAAUAUUUAGCGUGUGUAUUCAUAUGUGUAUAUGAUAUUUGGAAUAGUUUUUGGCCA
RNA transcript from Prosopis cineraria, 5603 nucleotides. It is a transcript of the gene named probable mannitol dehydrogenase, with no coding region annotated. The transcript has 5 exons. The record is from RefSeq and is a predicted model, not a curated record. Lineage: Eukaryota; Viridiplantae; Streptophyta; Magnoliopsida; Fabales; Fabaceae.